Molecule: unclassified non-coding RNA, 3078 nt
Filed under: Hevea brasiliensis (rubber tree)
Lineage: Eukaryota; Viridiplantae; Streptophyta; Magnoliopsida; Malpighiales; Euphorbiaceae
Source: RNAcentral
AAAAAAAAUGCGUUCUUUAUUUUAUUUUUCCUUCAUAUGUGAAAAUGUGAACGCAACUCUAUGGUCCAAACCCCAAACACAAUCAGGGCAGAUACAAAGCCAAGAAAAAUUCUACCAUAAAUAGGUCAAAAAUGAUCAGCAAUUUGUCAGGCAGACAGCUCAGAAAGUGGCAUAUUUUAUUUUUUAUACAUAAAAAAAUCUCCAACUUCGCGCACCAGGAAGAAUUCACAUUCCACCACUCAAUACUCGACAUAUGCACUAUCGUGGAGUACCCAGCACCAAGAAAUUUACUUUUCCCUUUUUUUUCUUGUACAAAUGUAGUUCUACAAAAACACAUAUCAAGCACAAGAAAUACCCUCCAAGCCAAUUCCAUUUUGGUCAUUUAGUUCAGGAGAAAUUAAUUUGUAUGAACUGGUAAUUCUUUUUUUUUUUUUUCCAAAAAGAAAAAUUCAAGCAUCAGUAACCAGAUCUUCGUAAGUAUGCUAGUACACCUAACCCAGCAACCAGAGCCGCACCUGCUGCAACAGCACUGUAUGCAGCAGCCCAUGCAUCUGUGUGAGCGUAAUCCAUAUCUCCUGAAGUAGAACUCCUCCGUCGACCACGUAUUCCAGAAUAGUCUAAAUGCAAUCUCAGACCCUUGAAACCAACUAAUUUUGCAUGCUCAACGGCUGCAGCAAGAUCACUAUCUGACUCCAGAACAACUUUAUCAUGAUCUUCAUCUUCAUACAGAAUUUGAGGCAAAUUGUUUCGGUCAAUGUCAUCCCCUAACCUCUGAAGUAUAGCCGUUACUAGAUCUGUCAAACUCCUAGUAUCACAAGUAAAUCUGUGCAUUCGCCCCUUCUUGUCUUCAAUUUUGAAACCAAAUGUAUUUGGCAACCCUGAUGAAGGAUAGGCAAGGGAUCUUCCUGUCUCUCCUCCUUCAGAAGGCAAUUUCAAGGAACCUUCACUCCGUGUAUCCUCAUCAUCCUCGUUGGGACUUAAAGCCAUUGCAGAAUCCCAAAACUUUUGCAUCAUUGUGCUUGCUGCCUCAUUAUUUACUCCAGCAGUACUUCCAACCUGAUUAAUGAAGUAAUAAAAAGAAAGUUUUCAUUCUGCUCAAGCAAUCAUAACAUAACAUGUGUUUCUCAUCACAAGUGAGUUCCUGCCUCCAGUGUGGAGAGAAAAUGCAAUCUAUUAUUGACUGGGUUAGAAAAUUGGUAAACCUCUUAUCUCAGGCAUGAGUGGAUUUGAAUACCAAGAGACAUUGCCAGCCAACAAAGCAGGCACUCAACUGUUAUUAGAAUUUGUGCCCAUACGACACCUCUUAUCCUCUCACUAAGAACUUAUUCUGAAUUUCUGAUGAAUGCAACUUGCAGAGAGACAAAUUAUAAAGCACAAAAUAUUUCAGAAGGUACGACUUGACUUACCGUGGCAACUGCUGCAUGAGUAAUAUGAAUCACAUCAACCACAGCAACUAUAUUCCCAUCUCUAUCUACCACAGGAAGGUGCAAAAACUUCCCAUCAUGCAUGAUAUGAAGAGCAUCAACAAUUGGUGUAUCAAUGGUUGCACAUUCAGGGUUAGGAGUCAUAACCUUCUCCACAACAGUGGUAUCUGGAGGAAGAUUUUGUGCUAUUACUCGCAUCAAGAUAUCCUUAGAGCUGACAGAAAAAUCCACAGAUUAUAGCAUGUAAUAAUAACAAUAAAAGAAACAUUUUCUGCUUUGAGAUAUAAAUAAAAAUCAGAUUGGGGAUGUAAACUAUUUAUUGGAUCAGAUACUUAAAAAAGACCUACGUUAAAAUUCCUCGUGGUUUGUGAUCAACCAUCACCACUGCAGAGCUUGACCGAAAUUCAAGCAUCUUCUUUGUCACUGCCAAAACACUUUCAGUUGGAGAAACUGUUACAACCUUUGAAUUCUCCUGAAUUAUUGUAGAUAAAGACGGUCUAAACAUCCGCUCUCGAAGUGUUUCAAUGAACGUAUUAGGUCCAGAUAAGGUUGUCCCCCAAUUUUUUUCUACACCUUCAACAGCUGCAGCAAUAGCCUUUCCCUUCUCAGCUGCCCUUUCCAUACGAGCAAUAGCAUCAUAUAAACACUUUGCUAUAUCAAGUAUAGCAAUGACCUCUCCAUUUUCCACAACAGGCAAAUGUCUGAAUUUUCCUUGAACCAUCUUCUGUAGAGCUUCCACAGCAAGGGUGUCAGAAAGAACAAAAACUGGGUUCCUUGUCAUAACUUUGGAAACUGGUGUUUCCUCAAGAUUAAUGUCACGAGCAAUUACUCUUGUUACUACAUCCUUAUCUGUGAGGAUUCCACAAAGUAACGCAUUUGAGUCCGUUAGCAAUAAAGCAUCAACUCUACGAGCAGCCAUACGACGGCAAGCCUCAUAAAUACUUGUGGCUUCAGGUACUGUCAGGGCCUUUGACAGGCGCAAUCGUUUUACUGUACGCUCACCAGUUAGUCCCCCGGGCCGAGAAGUGGUGAAAGAUUUUCGUGCAGAAUCCGGGGCUCCACCAUUCUCAGAUGAUUUCUUCCUCGCAAGCGUAGAAGAUGAAUUUGACAACGAAAAACUUUUCCUCGAAGAUCCACCUUGACUGGCCAUCUUCACCUAUAUUCCACACACAAUUCUCAAUCUAUAUCCCUCCAAAUUACUGCAACCAAUCACCAGAACGAGAGAUUAGGCUAGAGUUGUUUCAAUAGCAAAAGAUGACGUAGAUUUCAAUCAACAAAUGAAAUUUUGAUGAACGAAGCCUCAAUCAUAAACGAAAAUUAAUUUUCACAAAGUUGAACCGUCGGGAGUUGGAAUCAGAAUCUGGACGGAACAAAGGUGGCUAAUUGAGAGGGUUAGAAAUUUUCGAGGGAAAGCAGGUCGGGAUUGUUAUCGGAAAAUAAGAUUUUCCGUAAUAUUCACCGACCGGCAAGGCAGAGAGAUGGAACUAGGGGAGAUGGAGAGAUAUUGAAACCCUAGAAGAGAAAUGGGAGGACGUGAAAUUUGCCAUACGAUGGGAAGGGGCCCAAUGAUAUUCGCGCACGUUAACGAUUCUAACUGAAAUCUCUCCAAUUUCACUGGGGAUUAUAAUAAAUGUCGAUUUUUAAUUAAAGUAAA